This 432-nucleotide ribosomal RNA is filed under the name uncultured bacterium. Its description in RNAcentral is "partial 16S ribosomal RNA". It matches the Rfam family "Bacterial small subunit ribosomal RNA", at positions 29 to 507 of the family's 1533-position model. The record is from RNAcentral.
ACGAACGCUGGCGGCCUGCCUCACCCCUGCAGGUCGAACGAGACCUUCGGGUCUAGUGGCGCACGGGUGCGUAACGCGUGGGAACCUGCCCUUAGGUUCGGAAUAACUCCCCGAAAGGGGUGCUAAUACCGGAUAAUGUCUUCGGACCAAAGAUUUAUCGCCUUUGGAUGGGCCCGCGUUGGAUUAGCUAGUUGGUAGGGUAAAAGCCUACCAAGGCGACGAUCCAUAGCUGGUCUGAGAGGAUGAUCAGCCACACUGGGACUGAGACACGGCCCAGACUCCUACGGGAGGCAGCAGUGGGGAAUAUUGGACAAUGGGCGAAAGCCUGAUCCAGCAAUGCCGCGUGAGUGAUGAAGGCCUUAGGGUUGUAAAGCUCUUUUACCCGGGAUGAUAAUGACAGUACCGGGAGAAUAAGCUCCGGCUAACUCCGUG